RNAcentral lists this ribosomal RNA (2287 nucleotides) under Pseudomonas aeruginosa. RNAcentral's name for it is "partial 23S ribosomal RNA". It matches the Rfam family "Bacterial large subunit ribosomal RNA", at positions 658 to 2925 of the family's 2925-position model. The record is from RNAcentral. Lineage: Bacteria; Pseudomonadati; Pseudomonadota; Gammaproteobacteria; Pseudomonadales; Pseudomonadaceae.
UAGGGUAGGCGUAGCGAAAGCGAGUCUUAAUAGGGCGUUUAGUCGCUGGGUAUAGACCCGAAACCGGGCGAUCUAUCCAUGAGCAGGUUGAAGGUUAGGUAACACUGACUGGAGGACCGAACCCACUCCCGUUGAAAAGGUAGGGGAUGACUUGUGGAUCGGAGUGAAAGGCUAAUCAAGCUCGGAGAUAGCUGGUUCUCCUCGAAAGCUAUUUAGGUAGCGCCUCAUGUAUCACUCUGGGGGGUAGAGCACUGUUUCGGCUAGGGGGUCAUCCCGACUUACCAAACCGAUGCAAACUCCGAAUACCCAGAAGUGCCGAGCAUGGGAGACACACGGCGGGUGCUAACGUCCGUCGUGAAAAGGGAAACAACCCAGACCGCCAGCUAAGGUCCCAAAGUUGUGGUUAAGUGGUAAACGAUGUGGGAAGGCUUAGACAGCUAGGAGGUUGGCUUAGAAGCAGCCAUCCUUUAAAGAAAGCGUAAUAGCUCACUAGUCGAGUCGGCCUGCGCGGAAGAUGUAACGGGGCUCAAACCACACACCGAAGCUGCGGGUGUCACGCAAGUGACGCGGUAGAGGAGCGUUCUGUAAGCCUGUGAAGGUGAGUUGAGAAGCUUGCUGGAGGUAUCAGAAGUGCGAAUGCUGACAUGAGUAACGACAAUGGGUGUGAAAAACAUCCACGCCGAAAGACCAAGGGUUCCUGCGCAACGUUAAUCGACGCAGGGUUAGUCGGUUCCUAAGGCGAGGCUGAAAAGCGUAGUCGAUGGGAAACAGGUUAAUAUUCCUGUACUUCUGGUUACUGCGAUGGAGGGACGGAGAAGGCUAGGCCAGCUUGGCGUUGGUUGUCCAAGUUUAAGGUGGUAGGCUGAAAUCUUAGGUAAAUCCGGGGUUUCAAGGCCGAGAGCUGAUGACGAGUCGUCUUUUAGAUGACGAAGUGGUUGAUGCCAUGCUUCCAAGAAAAGCUUCUAAGCUUCAGGUAACCAGGAACCGUACCCCAAACCGACACAGGUGGUCGGGUAGAGAAUACCAAGGCGCUUGAGAGAACUCGGGUGAAGGAACUAGGCAAAAUGGCACCGUAACUUCGGGAGAAGGUGCGCCGGCUAGGGUGAAGGAUUUACUCCGUAAGCUCUGGCUGGUCGAAGAUACCAGGCCGCUGCGACUGUUUAUUAAAAACACAGCACUCUGCAAACACGAAAGUGGACGUAUAGGGUGUGACGCCUGCCCGGUGCCGGAAGGUUAAUUGAUGGGGUUAGCGCAAGCGAAGCUCUUGAUCGAAGCCCCGGUAAACGGCGGCCGUAACUAUAACGGUCCUAAGGUAGCGAAAUUCCUUGUCGGGUAAGUUCCGACCUGCACGAAUGGCGUAACGAUGGCGGCGCUGUCUCCACCCGAGACUCAGUGAAAUUGAAAUCGCUGUGAAGAUGCAGUGUAUCCGCGGCUAGACGGAAAGACCCCGUGAACCUUUACUGUAGCUUUGCACUGGACUUUGAGCCUGCUUGUGUAGGAUAGGUGGGAGGCUUUGAAGCGUGGACGCCAGUUCGCGUGGAGCCAUCCUUGAAAUACCACCCUGGCAUGCUUGAGGUUCUAACUCUGGUCCGUGAUCCGGAUCGAGGACAGUGUAUGGUGGGCAGUUUGACUGGGGCGGUCUCCUCCUAAAGAGUAACGGAGGAGUACGAAGGUGCGCUCAGACCGGUCGGAAAUCGGUCGCAGAGUAUAAAGGCAAAAGCGCGCUUGACUGCGAGACAGACACGUCGAGCAGGUACGAAAGUAGGUCUUAGUGAUCCGGUGGUUCUGUAUGGAAGGGCCAUCGCUCAACGGAUAAAAGGUACUCCGGGGAUAACAGGCUGAUACCGCCCAAGAGUUCAUAUCGACGGCGGUGUUUGGCACCUCGAUGUCGGCUCAUCACAUCCUGGGGCUGAAGCCGGUCCCAAGGGUAUGGCUGUUCGCCAUUUAAAGUGGUACGCGAGCUGGGUUUAGAACGUCGUGAGACAGUUCGGUCCCUAUCUGCCGUGGACGUUUGAGAUUUGAGAGGGGCUGCUCCUAGUACGAGAGGACCGGAGUGGACGAACCUCUGGUGUUCCGGUUGUCACGCCAGUGGCAUUGCCGGGUAGCUAUGUUCGGAAAAGAUAACCGCUGAAAGCAUCUAAGCGGGAAACUUGCCUCAAGAUGAGAUCUCACUGGGAACUUGAUUCCCCUGAAGGGCCGUCGAAGACUACGACGUUGAUAGGCUGGGUGUGUAAGCGUUGUGAGGCGUUGAGCUAACCAGUACUAAUUGCCCGUGAGGCUUGACCAU